UUCGUUUAGGGUUCUUCGCCUUGUUUUAAUGGCGCUCGUGAAAUUCGCUAUCGCGUCGGUGUUCAUGUGGACGGCGCCGCUGCUCAUUCUCCAGGCUUACAAGCGCGAUCUCCUCCCAGGAUUUUCCAGUCUUUCACCGGAAGUGCAAACCAUCGUUUGUGGAUUACUGGCGGUUGUCUCCGUCAAUGUCGUGAUUGCCUUCUACAUUCUAUCGGCCAUGCGAGAGCCUCCGACGAGCACGGAGCCAAAGCCCGAUCCAGAGUUUGUUUCUCGAGCUAGAGCCAGCGUCGAGGCUCUCCAAUCAAGCCCAGAGAUCAAGAAGAACGAGUAACAAAAAAUUGGUAUCGAUUGAUUCGCCCUCUUUCCUUUCUCUUUCUUUUUUUCUUUUCUUUCAUUUGGUCAGCUGGACGACAAUAACAUAGAAUUCUCCAUCUGGGACGACUACAAUCUCGUGAACCUUGUAAAUCGGAGCUAGAAAAUCUGCGAACCUUGGAUUCGAUGUCGUGGAUCAAAUCUUUGGCUUUGGUCGCGAGUGGAACCAUGUACGAGGAAUACUGGUAACAAAAGUUUUACAUGAUUGGAGGGAUCAAAGG
This is a long non-coding RNA of Selaginella moellendorffii, 593 nucleotides long. RefSeq lists it as uncharacterized. The record is from RefSeq and is a predicted model, not a curated record. Lineage: Eukaryota; Viridiplantae; Streptophyta; Lycopodiopsida; Selaginellales; Selaginellaceae. The transcript is spliced from 3 exons.